UGGCUCAGACGGUAAAGCGUCUGCCUACAAUGCAGGAGACCUGGGUUCAAUCCCUG
Molecule: non-coding RNA, 56 nt
Organism: Bos taurus (domestic cattle)
Lineage: Eukaryota; Metazoa; Chordata; Mammalia; Artiodactyla; Bovidae
Source: Rfam